This is a long non-coding RNA of Haliotis rubra (blacklip abalone), 506 nucleotides long. RefSeq lists it as uncharacterized. Lineage: Eukaryota; Metazoa; Mollusca; Gastropoda; Lepetellida; Haliotidae. The transcript is spliced from 4 exons. The record is from RefSeq and is a predicted model, not a curated record.
CCCAGAGUGACUCAAUUCAGGAGUUUGGCUUUUCGUAAAGCCCAAGAAAACGGAUAUGGUAUAAAGGAAAGUUUAUAAUCGCAUCGAAUAUGGAAUUCCAGCACCGCGAAACUAAUCGCGGUACACGACGCAACACUUGAUGACAACGGCUUCAUUUUUCUCUAACCAUCAUGGCACUCUGAACUACACCUAAAGGGAACUAACUUCUUAAAUUCAUCUGGGAAAGUCUAUCUAUGAGUGAUUUCAGUGAGCGAACGUUACAGCAAAGAAGGACGUGUUUCAAGAGGUUCAUAAAAUAGCUAAUGUGUCAUCACAACAGCCUUGUCUCUGGCAUCAGGGAAUCCCUUCACAUCCGACGCACCCAAGACGAUUGGCACCCUCAUGACUGGAUGAACUAGGAAACGUCAUUGAAGCAAUAAACCUAAAACCAAGUUCAUUUUUUGCAAAGAUUUUAUAAGCUUUUCAAAAUCCAAGUGCCACUCAAAUCCGUAAUACUAAAAAAAUUC